This 497-nucleotide ribosomal RNA is filed under the name uncultured bacterium. Its description in RNAcentral is "partial 16S ribosomal RNA". It matches the Rfam family "Bacterial small subunit ribosomal RNA", at positions 28 to 507 of the family's 1533-position model. The record is from RNAcentral.
GAUGAACGCUGGCGGCGUGCCUAAUACAUGCAAGUCGAGCGAACGGACGAGAAGCUUGCUUCUCUGAUGUUAGCGGCGGACGGGUGAGUAACACGUGGAUAACCUACCUAUAAGACUGGGAUAACUUCGGGAAACCGGAGCUAAUACCGGAUAAUAUUUUGAACCGCAUGGUUCAAAAGUGAAAGACGGUCUUGCUGUCACUUAUAGAUGGAUCCGCGCUGCAUUAGCUAGUUGGUAAGGUAACGGCUUACCAAGGCAACGAUGCAUAGCCGACCUGAGAGGGUGAUCGGCCACACGGGAACUGAGACACGGUCCAGACUCCUACGGGAGGCAGCAGUAGGGAAUCUUCCGCAAUGGGCGAAAGCCUGACGGAGCAACGCCGCGUGAGUGAUGAAGGUCUUCGGAUCGUAAAGCUCUGUUAUUAGGGAAGAACAUAUGUGUAAGUAACUGUGCACAUCUUGACGGUACCUAAUCAGAAAGCCACGGCUAACUACGUG